This 254-nucleotide ribosomal RNA is filed under the name uncultured bacterium. Its description in RNAcentral is "partial 16S ribosomal RNA". It matches the Rfam family "Bacterial small subunit ribosomal RNA", at positions 524 to 776 of the family's 1533-position model. The record is from RNAcentral.
UACGGAGGGGGCAAGCGUUAUUCGGAUUUACUGGGCGUAAAGGGUGCGUAGGCGGUCGUGCAAGUCUGAUGUGAAAUCUUCACCACUCAACGGGAAGAGGUCAUUGGAAACUGCGCGACUUGAGUUUGGUAGAGGCUAGCGGAAUUCCUGGUGUAGCGGUGGAAUGUGUAGAUAUCAGGAAGAACACCUGUGGCGAAGGCGGCUAGCUGGGCCAAUACUGACGCUGAGGCACGAAAGCGUGGGGAGCAAACGGG